AGUGAACGCUGGCGGUAGGCCUAACACAUGCAAGUCGAACGGCAGCACAGUAAGAGCUUGCUCUUACGGGUGGCGAGUGGCGGACGGGUGAGGAAUACAUCGGAAUCUACUUUUUCGUGGGGGAUAACGUAGGGAAACUUACGCUAAUACCGCAUACGACCUACGGGUGAAAGCAGGGGAUCUUCGGACCUUGCGCGAUUGAAUGAGCCGAUGUCGGAUUAGCUAGUUGGCGGGGUAAAGGCCCACCAAGGCGACGAUCCGUAGCUGGUCUGAGAGGAUGAUCAGCCACACUGGAGCUGAGACACGGUCCAGACUCCUACGGGAGGCAGCAGUGGGGAAUAUUGGACAAUGGGCGCAAGCCUGAUCCAGCCAUACCGAGUGGGUGAAGAAGGCCUUCGGGUUGUAAAGCCCUUUUGUUGGGAAAGAAAAGCAGCAGGUUAAUACCCCGCUGUUCUGACGGUACCCAAAGAAUAAGCACCGGCUAACUUCGUG
Molecule: ribosomal RNA, 492 nt
Filed under: uncultured bacterium
Lineage: Bacteria
Description: partial 16S ribosomal RNA
Rfam family: Bacterial small subunit ribosomal RNA
Source: RNAcentral